This 459-nucleotide ribosomal RNA is filed under the name uncultured bacterium. RNAcentral describes it as "partial 16S ribosomal RNA". It matches the Rfam family "Bacterial small subunit ribosomal RNA", at positions 338 to 795 of the family's 1533-position model. The record is from RNAcentral.
CCUACGGGUGGCAGCAGUGAGGAAUAUUGGUCAAUGGGCGGGAGCCUGAACCAGCCAAGUCGCGUGAGGGACGACUGCCCUAUGGGUUGUAAACCUCUUUUAUAAGGGAAGAAUAAAUGCUACGUGUAGCAUGAUGCCUGUACCUUAUGAAUAAGCAUCGGCUAACUCCGUGCCAGCAGCCGCGGUAAUAAGGAGGAUCCGAUCGUUAUCCGGUUUUAUUGGGUUUAAAGGGAGCGUAGGUGGAUUGUUAAGUCAGUUGUGAAAGUUUGCGGCUCAACCGUAAAAUUGCAGUUGAAACUGGCAGUCUUGAGUACAGUAGAGGUGGGCGGAAUUCGUGGUGUAGCGGUGAAAUGCUUAGAUAUCACGAAGAACUCCGAUUGCGAAGGCAGUUCACUGGACUGCAACUGACACUGAGGCUCGAAAGUGUGGGUAUCAAACAGGAUUAGAUACCCAGUAGUC